Non-coding RNA from Vicia faba (fava bean), 240 nucleotides. The record is from the annotation of a GenBank genome assembly. NCBI's taxonomy places the organism in Eukaryota, Viridiplantae, Streptophyta, Magnoliopsida, Fabales, Fabaceae.
AUGCAAGGUAAACUAUACCUGCUGCUUCUUGGAACCAUAACUCUUAGUCUGUUGAUCGUCGCAUUGUAUUUUUUAUCAUUGAAAGAACGAGGGAUCUUCGAUGAUUCUCGUCAUCGCGGAACAAGGGAGCUUGGAAACCAUCAUUUUUGUGGGUUGUUAUUUGGUUUGUUUGGGGCUGUGUUACAUAUCAGUAUGAUUAGUGGUACAACCAUAGGAGAUAUCAGAAAGCACGAGGAAUAA